Long non-coding RNA from Aphis gossypii (cotton aphid), 1523 nucleotides. RefSeq lists it as uncharacterized. Lineage: Eukaryota; Metazoa; Arthropoda; Insecta; Hemiptera; Aphididae. The record is from RefSeq and is a predicted model, not a curated record. The transcript has 3 exons.
UCGGAUUUCCGUUGGGAACAUUUCGGCGGUGUACAUGUAUAGUAUUACAAACGAAAUAGUUAUGGAAAACUUUCCAAUUAGGUAUAGAAGUACAUUUAAGAUGACUGCGUCUAAAAAUAAAACAAAAGUCAUACCUACAUUUUGGACAACAAAAAGUCAAUAUUAAAAAUAGCCAAUGGUCAUUCACAGCUCACUUAACCACAAUCCAUAAUCAAAACUCAAAAGGCGUUAUAGUUAGGUACACCAAGAACUAAGAAGAUGUAUAUCUUCUUUAAAAUACCAUAAUAUGCAUUGUAGGUACUUUAAUGAUGUUUUAUAAUCUGAUUUAAAUAUUUUGGGUUUCUGAUGUAAAUAGUUUAAUAAAAUUAUCGAAUUUUUUAAUUGAUAAUUAUUAAAUCUUUCAUUAACAAAAUAUACAUAGUACAAGUAUAUAGAUACAAUGGACGAUGGUAUAUUAAGGGCUGUAGUCAAUUUGUAACAAAAUUGGCUAAAAUAUCAACAUCAUGUGUAAUAAUUACUAAUUUGCAUCAACUUUUUGGAAUACUUUGGUAAUUUUCACUAAAAUUAAAAUACUAAUGUCACUUGCAUCAAAUUAGGUACAUACAAUAUGUUUAGAUAGCAAACUAUAAGAUAUGAAGCGAUGAAGGUAGAAUGUGUGAGAAUUUAUUGAACUAGUAAUACAGAAUAUUCUCUUUUAAAUGUUGAGCGGUUAUUUCAUUAACUUAUCUACACCGUUGCACGGUACGUACCUACCCACGUUAUUAUUGAUUUUAAAGUUACCUAUCAAACAACAAUAAUAAAUACCUAGGUAAUAAUAUAAUAUAUGAAAAACAUAAUAUGUAUAUAAGUGAAUGUAAUUCUGUGUAGUGUGUAAUUGUGUAAUAGGAUUAUACGACGGAUCAGACGUUAAACUAUGUUAUUAUCAGCAGAGCCCAACUUAGGAAUUUUGAGGCCCGGGUAAAAUUUUCUAAUGGGGCCUCAAAAUUAAUUAUUAUCUAAAUGCCACUUUAAUAAUUAAAUAUUAACAGGGGCCCGGGGCUCCAAAUAAUAUCGGGGCCCGGGGCUGCAGCCCCCCUAGCCCCCUCCCCCUAAGUUAGGCUCUGAUGAUCAGCAAGUAAAGCAGCGAGUACCUAAUAAGAAAUCUCGUAAAAUGAUUGUUAUUUGAGUCUUAAAGCAGUUAAAGCAGAUAUCGAUAAAGGUAUACCUACCUACCGUCAAAAUAACUGAACACAUAGAUACUUUUUUUUGACUUAUUUUAGUGUAAAUUACAAAUACCUACUAUUUUUGGUUACCCGCGAUCAUGCAAAUUACAUUAAUUCAUAUCAAAGCCCUAUGUAAAUAAUGGUUUAUUGUUGUUGAGCUUUGGGAUUGUCUGGGUCUCUGGGAUACGUAUUUUUUCCACCCCAUCUAUUUGGACCCGAUAAGAAAACACAUGCAGUGAUACAAGUGUUAUAAACCGGUUGGAAAAAAAUAAAAAUUACUCGCUUAAUGGUCACUGAAAAUUAUUAAUAAUUACGUUUUGG